Molecule: ribosomal RNA, 2924 nt
Filed under: Klebsiella quasipneumoniae
Lineage: Bacteria; Pseudomonadati; Pseudomonadota; Gammaproteobacteria; Enterobacterales; Enterobacteriaceae
Description: 23S ribosomal RNA
Rfam family: Bacterial large subunit ribosomal RNA
Source: RNAcentral
GGGUUGUGAGGUUAAGCGACUAAGCGUACACGGUGGAUGCCCUGGCAGUCAGAGGCGAUGAAGGACGUGCUAAUCUGCGAAAAGCGUCGGUAAGGUGAUAUGAACCGUUAUAACCGGCGAUGUCCGAAUGGGGAAACCCAGUGCAAUUCGUUGCACUAUCGUUAACUGAAUACAUAGGUUAACGAGGCGAACCGGGGGAACUGAAACAUCUAAGUACCCCGAGGAAAAGAAAUCAACCGAGAUUCCCCCAGUAGCGGCGAGCGAACGGGGAGCAGCCCAGAGUCUGAAUCAGCUUGUGUGUUAGUGGAACGGUCUGGAAAGUCCGACGGUACAGGGUGAUAGUCCCGUACACCAAAAUGCACAGGCUGUGAACUCGAAGAGUAGGGCGGGACACGUGGUAUCCUGUCUGAAUAUGGGGGGACCAUCCUCCAAGGCUAAAUACUCCUGACUGACCGAUAGUGAACCAGUACCGUGAGGGAAAGGCGAAAAGAACCCCGGCGAGGGGAGUGAAAAAGAACCUGAAACCGUGUACGUACAAGCAGUGGGAGCACCUUUAUGGUGUGACUGCGUACCUUUUGUAUAAUGGGUCAGCGACUUAUAUUCUGUAGCAAGGUUAACCGUAUAGGGGAGCCGCAGGGAAACCGAGUCUUAACUGGGCGUUAAGUUGCAGGGUAUAGACCCGAAACCCGGUGAUCUAGCCAUGGGCAGGUUGAAGGUUGGGUAACACUAACUGGAGGACCGAACCGACUAAUGUUGAAAAAUUAGCGGAUGACUUGUGGCUGGGGGUGAAAGGCCAAUCAAACCGGGAGAUAGCUGGUUCUCCCCGAAAGCUAUUUAGGUAGCGCCUCGUGAAUUCAUCUUCGGGGGUAGAGCACUGUUUCGGCUAGGGGGUCAUCCCGACUUACCAACCCGAUGCAAACUACGAAUACCGAAGAAUGUUAUCACGGGAGACACACGGCGGGUGCUAACGUACGUCGUGAAGAGGGAAACAACCCAGACCGCCAGCUAAGGUCCCAAAGUCAUGGUUAAGUGGGAAACGAUGUGGGAAGGCACAGACAGCCAGGAUGUUGGCUUAGAAGCAGCCAUCAUUUAAAGAAAGCGUAAUAGCUCACUGGUCGAGUCGGCCUGCGCGGAAGAUGUAACGGGGCUAAACCAUGCACCGAAGCUGCGGCAGCGACACUAUGUGUUGUUGGGUAGGGGAGCGUUCUGUAAGCCUGCGAAGGUGACCUGUGAGGGUUGCUGGAGGUAUCAGAAGUGCGAAUGCUGACAUAAGUAACGAUAAAGCGGGUGAAAAGCCCGCUCGCCGGAAGACCAAGGGUUCCUGUCCAACGUUAAUCGGGGCAGGGUGAGUCGACCCCUAAGGCGAGGCCGAAAGGCGUAGUCGAUGGGAAACAGGUUAAUAUUCCUGUACUUGGUGUUACUGCGAAGGGGGGACGGAGAAGGCUAUGUUAGCCGGGCGACGGUUGUCCCGGUUUAAGCAUGUAGGCUGGUUAUCCAGGCAAAUCCGGAUAAUCAAGGCUGAGGUGUGAUGACGAGGCACUACGGUGCUGAAGUAACAAAUGCCCUGCUUCCAGGAAAAGCCUCUAAGCAUCAGGUAACACGAAAUCGUACCCCAAACCGACACAGGUGGUCAGGUAGAGAAUACCAAGGCGCUUGAGAGAACUCGGGUGAAGGAACUAGGCAAAAUGGUGCCGUAACUUCGGGAGAAGGCACGCUGGUGUGUAGGUGAAGUCCCUGCGGAUGGAGCUGAGACCAGUCGAAGAUACCAGCUGGCUGCAACUGUUUAUUAAAAACACAGCACUGUGCAAACACGAAAGUGGACGUAUACGGUGUGACGCCUGCCCGGUGCCGGAAGGUUAAUUGAUGGGGUUAUCCGUAAGGAGAAGCUCUUGAUCGAAGCCCCGGUAAACGGCGGCCGUAACUAUAACGGUCCUAAGGUAGCGAAAUUCCUUGUCGGGUAAGUUCCGACCUGCACGAAUGGCGUAAUGAUGGCCAGGCUGUCUCCACCCGAGACUCAGUGAAAUUGAACUCGCUGUGAAGAUGCAGUGUACCCGCGGCAAGACGGAAAGACCCCGUGAACCUUUACUAUAGCUUGACACUGAACAUUGAGCCUUGAUGUGUAGGAUAGGUGGGAGGCUUUGAAGCGUGGACGCCAGUCUGCGUGGAGCCAACCUUGAAAUACCACCCUUUAAUGUUUGAUGUUCUAACGUUGGCCCCUUAUCGGGGUUGCGGACAGUGUCUGGUGGGUAGUUUGACUGGGGCGGUCUCCUCCCAAAGCGUAACGGAGGAGCACGAAGGUUAGCUAAUCCUGGUCGGACAUCAGGAGGUUAGUGCAAUGGCAUAAGCUAGCUUGACUGCGAGCGUGACGGCGCGAGCAGGUGCGAAAGCAGGUCAUAGUGAUCCGGUGGUUCUGAAUGGAAGGGCCAUCGCUCAACGGAUAAAAGGUACUCCGGGGAUAACAGGCUGAUACCGCCCAAGAGUUCAUAUCGACGGCGGUGUUUGGCACCUCGAUGUCGGCUCAUCACAUCCUGGGGCUGAAGUAGGUCCCAAGGGUAUGGCUGUUCGCCAUUUAAAGUGGUACGCGAGCUGGGUUUAGAACGUCGUGAGACAGUUCGGUCCCUAUCUGCCGUGGGCGCUGGAGAAUUGAGGGGGGCUGCUCCUAGUACGAGAGGACCGGAGUGGACGCAUCACUGGUGUUCGGGUUGUCAUGCCAAUGGCACUGCCCGGUAGCUAAAUGCGGAAGAGAUAAGUGCUGAAAGCAUCUAAGCACGAAACUUGCCCCGAGAUGAGUUCUCCCUGAGACUAUAAGUCUCCUGAAGGAACGUUGAAGACGACGACGUUGAUAGGCCGGGUGUGUAAGCGCAGCGAUGCGUUGAGCUAACCGGUACUAAUGAACCGUGAGGCUUAACCUUACAACGCCGAAG